This 465-nucleotide ribosomal RNA is filed under the name uncultured bacterium. RNAcentral's name for it is "partial 16S ribosomal RNA". It matches the Rfam family "Bacterial small subunit ribosomal RNA", at positions 28 to 507 of the family's 1533-position model. The record is from RNAcentral.
GACGAACGCUGGCGGCGUGCUUAACACAUGCAAGUCGUACGGUAAGGCCCUUUCGGGGGUACACGAGUGGCGAACGGGUGAGUAACACGUGAGUAACCUGCCCACAACUUUGGGAUAACGCUAGGAAACUGGUGCUAAUACUGGAUAUGUGCUCCUGCUGCAUGGUGGGGGUUGGAAAGCUCCGGCGGUUGUGGAUGGACUCGCGGCCUAUCAGCUUGUUGGUGGGGUAGUGGCCUACCAAGGCGGCGACGGGUAGCCGGCCUGAGAGGGUGACCGGCCACAUUGGGACUGAGAUACGGCCCAGACUCCUACGGGAGGCAGCAGGGGGGAAUAUUGCACAAGGGGCGCAAGCCUGAUGCAGCAACGCCGCGGGCGGGAUGACGGCCUUCGGGUUGGAAACCGCUUUCAGCAGGGACGAAGCUUUUUGUGACGGUACCUGCAGAAGAAGCACCGGCUAACUACGUG